UGGAGACACAACCAACAGAGACGGCCGCCAGAGGCACACGGCUGUGCCAGCCUCCAGGAGCUACAGAACCCAGAAGAAAAGAUGCCAGGAGCUAGACAAAGGAGGACAACAAUUAUGUCAGGUAAAGCUGGACUGACAUAUUUAUCCUGGUGAAUUCAAAAUGAAACAUGAGCCAUAAAAAAGGAUACAAAGUAUUAUGGGUUUAUAAUGAAAGGAAGAAUUAACCUCAGCAUGUGGAAUCAAAGAAGACUGGCAAAAAGACAGCCGGAACUGAGGCUCCAAGCCCGGCAGUGUCCCCAGUCAGCCUUUCAGAUGAUGUCUGGAAUCACGGUUAACUCCAGUCCUGUGAGAGGCUCUCCCUUAAAGGACCCA
Molecule: long non-coding RNA, 372 nt
Organism: Manis pentadactyla (Chinese pangolin)
Lineage: Eukaryota; Metazoa; Chordata; Mammalia; Pholidota; Manidae
Exons: 3
Source: RefSeq, a predicted model, not a curated record